CUUGCCUUUUCCAGGUCCUACGUCGCAGGGGACUGACCCCUGGGCGCCCCACGCACUGGAAGGGUCAACCUCACCCGCAGGCGCCCCGGCGCCCCCGGGGAGGGGCCCGCCCCCACCACGCUCUGCUACGGGAGAAGCGGGAAGCAGGGCCGGGGCCCCGCAGGGACCCCUGGAUCCAGACCAGCUCAACUACGGCUAUGGAAACAGACCCGUGUCCCCUAGAAUUUUUAACCCGUCCUUAAGUUGUGGUCGUGCCCUGGCCACUCGGGACCAUAUACCCAAGGAGAGUUGUGGGGGACCAGUUUAUGUUUGUCAUUUUCAAAACCAAGCGGAGGAAAAGGGAGGCCGAUUAAAAUGACAUAUUUUUAUUUG
Capra hircus (goat) is the source of this 372-nucleotide long non-coding RNA. RefSeq lists it as uncharacterized. Lineage: Eukaryota; Metazoa; Chordata; Mammalia; Artiodactyla; Bovidae. The record is from RefSeq and is a predicted model, not a curated record. The transcript has 2 exons.